Humulus lupulus (European hop) is the source of this 761-nucleotide long non-coding RNA. RefSeq lists it as uncharacterized. The transcript is spliced from 4 exons. The record is from RefSeq and is a predicted model, not a curated record. NCBI's taxonomy places the organism in Eukaryota, Viridiplantae, Streptophyta, Magnoliopsida, Rosales, Cannabaceae.
AUUGAAUACUAAUUUCUAUCUUUAAUCUUUACAGGUAAAGGACUUGAUCUUGAUUUGUGUACUGAAUCUGUGUCGGUGAAAGAUGGCAGAGGUGAAUGGAAACAACAUGGAAGAAGAGGUGGUACUGGUAGCAGGGAAUAAUAGUAAUAAUAAUAAAAAAUAUGAUUUUAUUGAUCCUUAUGAUCCUUAUUGGGAUGGGAAACCUUACCCAACACCAAAAUCCAAGCCCAUCUACCCCUACCCAGAUCAGCCAGAAGAUUUUGAAGAAGAUUUGUUAAUUGUUGUAAACCAACUGAAACUCACUGAUGGUUUUCAUGUUGAUUACCUUCCUAAAGGCAGAAGGUAGUGGCUUGCGUUUAACGUGCACUCUGCUGAUGAUGAAGGGGGUUGGAAAGCAUCUCUUGUAGCAGUUGCUGAAUUUAACAGGCUCAAGGGUGCUGAUUUGAAGCUUAGCAAGGUUCUGAGUGUGUUAUCUGGGAUGGCUGCAGGAGUGCAUUACGAUUUGAUGUUGCAAUGUACUGAUGGUUGCUUCUAUGAAGCUAGGAUCUUCAUGGAAAUUGGCGAUGCUACCGAGUUAAUAACAUUUAGGCCUGCAAAACAUUGGCCAAGGCCAACAAUGAUGUAAGAAUUUAGUAGAUAAGAAGAUUGUGAAGAGGAGGAACUAGCCAAUUAGGUGGUGCUGAAACCUCAUGAACAUAGAUGGUACCAAUGAACUAGGAAGAACUAGAAGACUUGGGGGAAGAAAAUACCUUUUUUCAUUU